UCACAUGAUCACUAACCACCACAUGUUCAGACUCACCUCAGCUGUGAGAUGUAGGACAGACACUGAAGGAAACUCCUCACUUCACUCUCUUCAUCUGACCAGUCCUUCAGCUCUACUGGUUUUUUCUCUGGUUGGAGUUUCAGCACUUCUAGGAGGAGGGAGGCCUUUCUCUCUGAGAGGUCUAUGGACCAGACUGCAGGAGCUGACUGGUAAACUGGCUGUAAUGCUGGAAGGAAACUCCUGCCUGUUUGAGUCUCAUAGUCCUUCACAUGUGAGUACAGAUCCAGCAGGAAAUCACAUUUCUGAUUGUGAUAUACUUCAGACAGUGACACCACUUUCUCUACAGUUGUUUGUAUGGUUCCUCUCUCAUGGAGGACUGCUUGAAGACACAGAUUCAGUAGGAAUGUCUUCUCUCUCCUUAUCCUCUCUUCAGGGGAUCUUCUCUGAUCCUGUGAAGGAGUAAAACUGCAAGAACAGUUUCACAACAAAUAGAUGAAUAUGUGAGAGAUAUGAUAUGCAUUUCUGAUGGUCACAUUAUGGAGGGUAAAAUAC
Molecule: long non-coding RNA, 552 nt
Organism: Oncorhynchus tshawytscha (Chinook salmon)
Lineage: Eukaryota; Metazoa; Chordata; Actinopteri; Salmoniformes; Salmonidae
Source: Ensembl